AGAAGAAAACACUGAGAUAACCAACUAUGAUAAACUGCAGUUGGAAUUUAACGACCCAGUGGAUGGGAAACAAAGGGAAGAAAUGAGACUUGAAAAAACAAACAAACAGGGAGAUCAAGUGAAGGGUGGGCAGACCUCUAUUUGACUGAUGCUUGCUCCCUUUGAAGGUGCUUCCCAGCCAUUCGGUAUUCCUCAGAAUAUCUAUUGGCACCUACUUCUACAAAAGACCAGCUGAAACAUCUAACCUGGUGGGACUGAGCAACUACUAGAUUCUUCGACUUCCCAUUCACAGUGACUUCUGGCUGUUUCCACUGACUUGGGCUGAUUGACAGAGACUCUUCUGUUUGUUCUGGAUGAACUGCCAUUGCUGAUUCAUAGAGAGAAUCUACAAGUGACUUGAGGUACUGCUGCUGAUCUGUGUGAACUGAACUGCAAAUAUUUUGACAAGAUUGGAAUUGCCCCAAAUAAAUGUUUCUAAAUAGGUCCACA
Molecule: long non-coding RNA, 489 nt
Filed under: Mus musculus (house mouse)
Lineage: Eukaryota; Metazoa; Chordata; Mammalia; Rodentia; Muridae
Description: RIKEN cDNA 2010309G21 gene
Source: RNAcentral